AAACCAAUGGCAUCUACCAUUAGUGAAACAGAGAGAAAUAAACCAACCAAACUUUCAUAUGGAUUCAAAAGUUAAACACAUCACCUAAUCACACCGAUAUAAAAAAACUUGAACUUAGUUGAAAUAUUGAGUCACAAUUCAUACAUAAAAAAAGUGACUCCAGCAGAUUUGGGAAGAGAAGGAACCUAAUCGGCGGGAAAUGGAAAUAAAACAAUCAAAUGGAGGCAAAGACAAAUACCGUUGGAGCUAAUCCAAAGCAAUUCAGCUGCAACAAACAACAUUUAUGCCAAGUUCAUACUUGGAAACCCAUGAACAUAAAAGAGAAAAGGCUUUAACGGGGUUUUAUGGGGUGCUGACCACUUUGCAUUUACUCUCACAAAAAAUUGGUUCCGUUUCAUCAAACCCCAUUUUUAAAUUCCGCUACUGACUUUUGCUUGGGAGGUGAAUAUGAGCAGCUCAUUAGUGGAAGGGAAAUGAUUUUUAGCAACCUGGUGGAGAAAAUCUCGCACAAAUUGAAGCUAAAUACAAUUGCAAUUUUGAGCCGAACUUGCUUUCAUUUGUUUUGCUUUUUGCCAGCGAAAGGGAUUCGAUUUUCCUUAGUGUUUUUGAUCUGAUGCUCUCGUCCUCCUUUUGCUGAGUGAAGUGAGUACCCCUUUUGGAGGAGAACCGUCCUAUUUUGGGGUAAGGUCUCUGUUAAAGAAAGGAGAGGAGCACCGCUGGUGUCUUCAAAGAGAAAGGGAGAUCUCUAAAUCUGAUUAAGUCUAGGUCUAGAGAUGAGACAAAAAAUGUGAUUUUAUUAUGUGAAUGUUAUAGGUCAAAUUGGUUGUGAGCUUGGAUUGGGUUGAACGAAUAAAAAUGGGCUGGUUUUGGAUUUAAAAAUGGUUCAAUUGCUUAAUUGAAAACCUCAUUGCAAUUAAAUUCUUAUUCUGUUUUCUUUUCUUUUCCUUUAAUUAAAAAUUCUAGAAAUUAAAAUUCUAGAUUAUCCAAAAGUGUAGAAUUAAAUUAGCUAAUUAUAAAUUUUUUAAUAAAUACUUAAUUCUAAAUUAAAGAGAAAAAUCAAUAAGUUAAAUAUUUUUAAAAAAUGUGAAGAUGAGCUAUUUUUUUAGGAUUUUCAAAUUUUAUAAAACAAGUAAUUACUGAUUAAUUCUACAAGUGUAAAAACAAAUCCUAAAUACAAUGUAUGAUAUUUUGAUUUUUUAUGAUUUAAAUAAAACUUAUAUAUGCAAAAAAUGAAUACCAUUAAAUAAAAUUCUACAUAAACUCCUAAAAUUGGCAAAAAUAAAGAAAAUCUAUUUUCUUGGGAUUUUGUAGGAGUAAUUCAUAUAGCGCAAAAAUCACGUGCUUAUAGAGGCCCAUCUUUGUUCGGAAACAUGAAGAGUUUUCGUACAAAGAUAAAGUAAGCAACAUGAGAGAUUUUUGCCCAUUUGAAACUCCAUGAGAAGCAUUUUUGGAAAGAGUUUGACCGAACCUUGCUUCAGAGGUUUCCUAUAUAUCCUUGGCUAUAAAAGAAUCAGGUCAGUGUAGUUCUGAAAGUUUUGGUAGCUGGGACUACCGGGUAGUUGUGAGUUCACUGUUGUUGUUGUUGUUGUUGUUGCAGUUACUGCUUGCUGAGCUCCUUAUUACACCAAAAUGGAAAAUCAAGAGCUAAGCUAGCUUAGGCCUAUCAACUACGAGUUACAAUAUUCCUAUCUAUAAAUCUAUUGAAACUAGAUCUUGAGUCUUAGCUGGUUUUUGUUGUUGACUCCGAUCUGAAUCUUGAUGCUCAUUAGCUGCAUGUGCUAUUUUUUUUUUCAGGAAUUGGAUCAAAGCGGGACAUGCGAAACUUGUGAUUUUGAAUCAAAUUUGAGCAGUCCGCAUCUCUUUCUUCUUUGAGCAUUCUGAAUUCGCUUCUUUUGUUCCUUUCUUCUUUUCUAUUAUUCUGGAUUGAGACUCAUAUGAUCCGCAAUAUUUCUGUGCCUUGAGUUAAAACCUGCUCGGACACCAAAACAAACAAACGAACAAAAUUUUCUACCCCAAUUUUCAUUGAAAAAUUUCAUGAGUUAUUUGCAACACAAAUCUAAGCUAUUUUUUUUAUUAAAAACAAUAAAAGUCAGGAUUGUGUAUCCUUUAGAGGGAUUUUCGGUUUAUGCUGGGAAGGAGAAAGGGUACCUGCUGGGGAUAAGAUGAGGAUCCACGGGUAAUGCCAGGAUGGGAAUGAAGAGUCCCUGCUGGGGAUGAACGGAAAAAUCCUCUGGUUAUGCCGGGAUGAAAUAAAAAAAGAUUUCUGGGUUAUGCCAGGAAGAUUCACGGGUCAUACCGGGAUGAAUGAAAAAGGUUCAUGGGUUAUGCCAGGGGGUCCGCGGGUUAUACCGGGAUAGGAGGAAAAGGGGUCUACUGGGGAUAGGAAGAAAAUGAUCCUCGGGUUAUGUCGGGGAAGAAAAGAAAAGACCCUCAGGUUAUGCAUGGGAGCAAAAGAAAAGACCCUCAGGUUAUGCUGGGGAGAAAAAGGAAAGAUGAUCCUCGGGUAUGUCGGGUAGGUCCACGGGUUAUACCAGGAUAAAAGGGAAAAGGUCCUAUGCUAUCAUGAAUUUGGAUUUGUUUUUGAAUUAUCCUAGGAGAAAAUUCGUCAGACUAGAUUUUCUAUCUUAGGAGAAAGAUUUAUCAGAUUAAGAUUUUGAUCCUAGGAAGAAAGUUCAUCAGACUAGGUCUUUUGUUUUUUGGUAUCUUAGGAGAAAGAUUCAUCAGACUAAGAUUUUGACCAUAGGAGAAAGUUCAUCUGACUAGGUCUUCUAUCUUAGGAGAAAGAUUCAUCAGACUAAGAUUUUGGUCCUAGGCGAAAAUUCAUCAGACUAGGUCUUCUAUCUUAGGAGAAAGAUUCAUCAGACUAAGAUUUUGGUCCUAGGCGAAAAUUCAUCAGAAAAGUCUUUAUUUAUAUUAUUAUCUUAGAAGAAAGAUUUAGAUCCUAGGAGAAAGUUCAUCAGACUAGGUCUUCUAUCUUAGGAGAAGGAUUCAUCAGACUAAGAUUUCGAUCCUAGGAGAAUAUUUUAGAGAGUAAGUUUUCUAUCUUAGGAGAAUAAUUCAUCAGACAAAGAUUUUGAUCCUUGGAGAAAUUCAAGAGAAAGUUAAUCAGACUAGGUCACUUUUUUUAUAUAUAUCUUAGGAGAAAGAUUUAUCAGACUAAGAUUUUGAACCUAGGAAAGAGUUCAUCAGACCAGGCUCUUUUUUUUUGGUAUCUUAGGAGAAAGAUUAAUCAGACUAUGAUUUUGAUCAUAGGAGAAAAUUCAUCAGACUAGGACUUUUAAACUAGGAGGAAAAAUGUAAAAUGGCAACAAUAGCAAGACAAAUAAAGGUAAAGAUUCAAGAAACUUCCCUUUAUUGGCUCUUCUCUUCUUUUCUUUUUCUUCUCUUCUUUUGUUGUUGUUUUUUAACCACUUUCCUCGCAUUGUUUUGUUCCUGUUUCAAACAAAGAAAACUUUGUCAAUUUUAAAAGUGGUGGUCGGUUUGUGGCCUUGAGUCUCGAGCGGCUUGGCUUUUGCUCGAUCAGCCUGAGUCGGUCUUAAGAGACCGUUGUUCUGCACCAACUUUGAUUGUUUUGCACCUAGUACCAUUUGUAUUGGUGGCUCAAUCGUCCUUGUACCGAUUAGAGAUCUUGGAUCAGGUGACUUUUUCUAAUAUCUUGAAUGACUUUUUGCUUUUUGAGCAAUUUGUCUGUCAGAGAGAAUCACAAGUUAUCUUUGCUUGCUCCAAGCAGGCUGACAAGAGUCUUUUGGGGGAGCCCUUGCGUGAAUCCUCAAGGCAUGCUGACAGUAACAGCUGAGUGCACUGGCCAAAUUAACUUUGUGCAACUGAAAAUGGAAGCCCUUGCAUGAAUCCUCAAGGCACGUUGACAGUAACAACUGAGUGAGCUGGCCAAAUUUACUUUAUGUAACUGAAAAGCUGGUAGCAGAUUUUAAAAUUUUUUCUUGCUUGUUUUGACAAGGAUGGACUCAAAGAGAAUGACACAAUGAUGCAAAGAAACAAAUAUUAACAAGAAAUUCCCCCUGUCGGAAGGACAGAAGGAAGAACUUUUUUUUUUUCAAUAACUAGCCUUAUUGGCCAUGACAUGCAUUUUGGAUUUAACGGCAUGAUCUAUAAAACUAAUUCAAUCUUCCCUUUUACCAUUCUUAUGACCUUUGAAGCAGGGCUUGUUCCUUCUAGUCGUUUGCAUCAACUUCAUGCCUCACCUUCGACUAGUGGUGCCCGAGGGGUUUUCACCAGCAAGUCUCUCUCAUUUAUUCAUGUCUGCUUACUAUUGUCUUACACUGCCCGUGAGGGUUUUCAUUAAUAAGACUCUCUUAUUUUUCUUUUUUUUUCUUUCUAUUUUUCUUUUUCUUUUUCUUUUUCUUAUUCUUUUUCCUUCUCUUCUCUCUUAUUUUUUGCGAGCAACUUGACCGUGUUCUAUGUCGCGUGACAACCAUUGCUCAUUACGUGCUUUUCUUGGCAUUCUUGAAGGCGUAUCAGGAGGUCUUUAUUUGGAAGGUUUUUGGAUAGGGUUGAACAGAAGGUUCGGCAUGAAGGCUCCAAGUGGACUUAAAAUGAAGGGGUGUAGACUUACAACUUUUGGAAUCGACUCUUUCAAAAGUGAAAUAAAUUAUUUUUUGCCCCAGUUUCAGAUAUUAGGGAUUUUUGAAUUUUCUUUUUCGAAUUCUUAUUUGGUUGACCAAACCGUGAGGCUGCCUACGUAUCCUUAAAAGGAAUCAGGUCGAACGUAGUUCAAACAUCUGAUCUAAAUUAUUUUUGUCAUUCUUUCUAUUUUUUUCUUUUUUCUUCUUUUUUUCUUUUUCUUUUCUUUUUUUUUUCACAAAUUGCCCUAGCUUCUAUUUUUGGGGGGCAUGGACCUUUGCCAAUUAUUUUCUUCUCUUUUAUUCACUAAGAAUUUCUAAAAGUUGCCCAGUUUAUACUCUUAGGACAUUGACUUUCUUUCUUUUUCAUUUUUUUCAUAUUCUUUUUGACUCCUGAUUCUGAACUUGAUUCCAAAAGUGGGUGGUCAAAGAAAAUAGUACAGACUCAAAAGGGGUAGCGAAUGAUAUAAAGUGUUUGGAUAGUAGGAAAAUGGCCUCCCAACCUCGAGAACGCCAAACAUAGUAUCCUUUCUCAAUCACGUCAUUGAUGAACAUGCCUGUCUUCUUGGUGUGUCGUGGUCACAAGACACUUUUCAUCCCUUGAUGUCAAGCUAUCCAACAUACUUCAAUUGAUUAAACAUCCUCAAUCCCAAUCUUUAUAAUUGUUUGAAGGUGAAUUUUUCUCGACCCUAAUUCCCAAGUAUUUCCACUCUCUAUUCAUCCUCAAAAGUGUGUUAUUUUCCCCUUUCCAGUUAUCCAAUUCCAGAUUAAAUCGGUUUCUAAGAUCUGGCCAAAAUUUCUGCAUGCAUGUCAUGUUAUUAGUAUUAGCGCGAAAAGAACUAAGAACAGAAUGACACAGAAGGACAAACUAGAUAUUAUUGAAUAAGGAUGGAAGGGUUUGACAACUAAACAAGCAACCUAAGAUCCGAGUUACAAACCUAAAAUAACCCGGAUACUAAAAAUAGCAACAAAACGGAUAGACAUAACUCAUACACAUAGAACAGAAAUAUAGAAGGAUUUGACUCAAUAAAACAAAUAAAAUCUGGAUCACAACCCUGAAAUAACCCAAAUAACAGAAAAAACAUCAAAACAAGCUACCAAGAUUCCUUCCUAAGUGAGGAGGGAAUGACUUUUCAAUUGCUAAGCUUGACAUUUAGCCACAAAUUUGCUCUUCAUAAAUCACCAUGACCUUCUCCAAUUUCAGUCAGCAAGUUCUCGAGAGAAUUCUCAUACUCCAUGUUACCAGGCAUCAUCCCCACAAAGUAUGUGUCGUCCUGUGUAGGUAAUAGAUUCUACGUGAUAUUCUGGGUGUCACAGUCUUGAAUCACAAUCAAAUUUUCCUGGAUUAUCCUCUCUCUUUCUCUUUUCAAAUUCCGACAAGUUUCAACAUCGUUCCCCCGGGCAUCAGAAUGGUAUUCACACCUUUUAGAAGGGUCAAAGCUUCUUGCACGUGGGUCCACAUGAUUUGGAGGAUGGGUGCAAUCAUGCCAUAAUGCUUUGACUUCUGAAAUAAGCUUGCAUAUGACUCUCCAAUUAGUGUAAAAUUAUAUUUCAACUUUUGUUCCCUUCUAUACCCCUAGCUUGGAUGUGGGUUAUAAGGCACUUGAAAAUUUUGUGAAGGCUGGUGGAGAUUUUGUGAUACUCGUGCUCGCCUUCUUGGGUGAUUUGAUGGCUGGACAACAUAUUGAGGUGGAUCAACAGAGUAUGGUGGGUCCUGAAGUGGAUAGUAAUACGCAGGUAAGUCAUGGAAAACCUGAUGAGGCUGCGCAUACCUUCGACCUGUUCUCCUGGGACCUCUUCUCGACCCUGUUGUCAUCAUGAUUUCUUCAUCCUUCUCAUUUAUGUCACUAAAAUUAUCAUAUUCAACCUGGACAACCUGAGUUGCGGCUUUAAGAACUACUUGACUUAAAAUUUUGCCUAUCUUAAGACCAUUCUCUACCAUUUCUCCCAUUGUGAUUUCUUCCAAAAAGGAUUUGCCAACUACGGACAUCAUGUUUUGAAAGUAAUCCGGCUCUUGCACUUGAAGGAAGACAGUGAUUAGCUCGUGGUCAUCCAUGUGGCUUGACCCUAGUUGCUUGCUCUCUCCAUCUAAUGGCAUAUUCCUUGAAACUUUCACUUGGUUUCUUCUUAAGGUUUGAAAGAGAGUUGCGGUCUGGGGUAAUGUCAAUGUUGUAUUGGAACUGUUUGACAAAAGCAUGUGCCAUGUCAUCCCAGACGUACCAGUGAGAAGUGUCUUGAUCCAAAAACCAUUUGGAUGCUACUCCUGUGAGGCGUUCCCCAAAAUAAGCUAUCAGCAAUUCUUCAUUUCUUCCUGCACCUCUUAGCUGACUGCAAUACCUUUUCAGGCUGGCUAUGCGGUAUCCAUGUCCAUCAUACUUUUAUAAUUUGGGAGUCUUGAAACUAGACGGCAAGUGGACAUCGGGGAACAUACAUAGAUCUUUUAAGGCAACACUCUUUUGACUUGCCAACCCUUGCAUAUUUUUCAACCGUUAUUCUAAGCUUUUCACUCUUCGGUUCAUUUCUUCCUGUGCCAUCGUUCAUGUGGGCUUCUCCAUGUUUGCAGGAAGAUCAAACGAGUACGAGUGGUAUUCAGGAGAGUGGUACUACUCUUGCUGAGUAGAAAAUUGUGACCCAUGACAAGGUUCUCCUUGGCCAUUGGCCAAUGCUUGACACAUUUUGGUCAUUUGUUGUUUCAGUAUUCUGUUUUCCUCAACCACAGUAGACUCUUGUCGAACCCUCUGACCUUGAGUCUUUUGAGCACUUGUUAUAGCUUCGAUGUCAGUUAUCAUUUUUCCUUGAAUCUUGUGUUGUCUGCUUACCACAAACCGACCACCUCAAACUUNNNNNNNNNNNNNNNNNNNNNNNNNNNNNNNNNNNNNNNNNNNNNNNNNNNNNNNNNNNNNNNNNNNNNNNNACCCCGAAGAAUAAACGUAUAAGGGAGUUUAUCAAAUUAAAGUGUCAUAUUAUUAUUAUCAACAAUUUUUUUUUCUUUUCUUCACUUUUUUUUCUUUCAUUUUUCUUUCAUUUUCCUUUUCCAUGGUUAAUCGAACCUAAUGUGGGUUACCUACAUAUCAUGACGCCGCAUGAAUCAGAUCUUGCGUAGUUCGGGAAGAUUAGGAAUAGAGAAAAUAAACUAAAUUUAUGUUUUUCUGGAUUUUAUUUUUUCUGCUUUUUUCUCAAAAGAAAGAGUUUUUUAGAUUUUGAUUUUUCUUCAAUAUUUUUGCAAAGAAAGAAUUCUAAUGAAGAAGGAUUUUUUUUCUUUUUUUUUUUUGAACUUGGAGUUUUUAUUGUUUUUAUUUUUUGGAAUUUCGAAAGAAAAACUAUUAAAGAAGAAAGAAAAAAAUAUUUUUGCAUUUAUGAAUUUUUAUUCUGAUGUUAGGAAAGAAGUACUUCUAAUGAAAAAGAAAGUAUUUUUGAAUCUUGAAUUUUCUUUUCAAUUUUCGAGAGAAGAAUAAAAAUAUUUUUGAAUUUUUAGAUUUUGUUUUUUGAAAUUUAGAAAGAAAAACUUCAAAAAAAAGAAAGAAAAAUAUUAUUAAACUUAUGGAUUUUUAUUCCAAAGUUAGGAAAGAAUUACUUCUAAGAAAAAGAAAGUAUUUUUGAAUUUUUAGAUUUCUUUUUCAACAUUUUGAAAGACAAACUUCUAAAGAAGAAAGAAAAAUAUUAUUUUGGAUUUCUUUUAUGAAUUUUUUAAAGAAAUACUUCUAAAUAAGAGAGAAGAUAUUUUGAAUCUUGAUUCUUCCUUUGAAUUUUCGAAAGAAGAAUGAAAAUAUUUUGUAUUUUUUUAUUUUUAGAAGCAACUAAAAGAAAUAUUAUUUUUGUAUUUUUUUAAAAAAAUUGGGGUCUCAAAGAAAAAUUUUCCUUAACAAGGAAGUAAAAGAAAUUUUUUUUUCGGAUUUUUGAAAUUGGGGUCGUAAAAAAAUUUUCUGAAGUAAAUGAAAAUAUUUUUGGAAUUUUGUUUUGGGUUUUUUAAAAAAAAAUAUGGGUUAUAAAGAAUGACCCCCUCUUUUUAUUAAAAUAAGUAAAUUAAAAUAUUUUUGAAUUUUUUAAAAAUUGAGGGCCGGAACCGAUGAGGUUUGCCUACGUAUCUCACAUCUGGUGAGAAUCAGACCCGCAUAGUUCUGCCAGAUUUGACGGAACAGGAGUUGACUUAUUUGAAAAAAUUUCGACAGUGUUUCAGAAUUUUCAAAAUACCUACCUCUCCUUUUUGUUCCUUUCCCUAUUCUAGAAGUCAUUCAACAUGCAAGCCGAACAGACGAAUAUGCAAAUAGCACGUAAGAUGCAUCAGGAUGGUCUUUUUAAUUUGGGUACACAUGUCCUAGACGAACUUAACACUUGUAUUGAGUCCCCUAAGUUAAAUGCACGUGAUGCAAACAAACGUUCCUACUAGGAAUCCGACAUGAGGUUUUGUUAUAUUAGGUUCAGAACCUGGGUAUUUGUUCUCGACCGUGUACCCGAGUGGACAACUCGAGUCGAGGAGGGGGCUACGUACCGGGGACCUGAAAGAUUGUCCGGCUUAGUAACUUGUCCGAGCCUCUUUAUUAUUUCAAGGUAUGACACUAACAGAAUAGGGAGUCUCGACCAGCGAGCACAUCCCCGAAGAUAAGAAGAGAAGAGUUUCGUAAAGGUUUAUAGAUACAAUUCAUCCAAUAUCAAAGCGGUAAAGCACUUAGCAUCUAUAGCAUGGAACAUGUAAUGAAAUCAGAUAAAGCCAAAUAUAACCGUUAUACUAAACUCGAAUUCUUGAACCUUGAACCAGAGAUUCUGGGUUCCUUCCCCAGCAGAGUCGCCAGAGCUGUCACACCUUCUAUUUGACACGGCUACCCCGAAGAAUAAACGUAUAAGGGAGUUUUUCCAAUUAAAGUGUCAUUAUUCGAAAUAGGAUUAUUUAUUUGUUUAGAGUCGCCACUUGGGAUGGGUUUGACUUUUCGAUGUCCUAAGUCACCGGUUUAUUUAGAAUCCCAAAUCAAGGAAAAUUUUCAACUGCCCAAAUGGAAUUUGCGAACCAGAAAUUCUAAGGAAGGAAUUCUGUUGACUCGAGGGAAGGUGUUAGGCACCCCCAGAUCCCGUGGUUCUAGCACGGUCGCUUAAACUAUCAUAUUUGGUCUAAUAUAUGAUUUUAUAACAUGUUCAUCCUAUAUUGCAAUUUUAAAUUAUUUACCUCUUUUAAUUGAAUUUUUAGGAAUGUGAACGUCGUUUAAAGAAUGUCUUUGGAUCGCUUCACAUGAAAUGCGCCCGGAUCUGAAACAUAUUAUAUCCAACGUUUUGAGAUUUAGAUUUAGGUCACAUGAAAUGCACACUCGAAUUUAGGAAAUUAUUUUUUUAAAAUUGCGCGCCUAGAGCAGAGCUAGGAUGUAUGAAUUCUUUUCCUAUGCUAAGAAUGUUGAGUUAUCCCACAUCGGAGGGAUUUGAGGUCCUUGGUCUCCUUAUAUGGCUUGGACANNNNNNNNNNNNNNNNNNNNNNNNNNNNNNNNNNNNNNNNNNNNNNNNNNNNNNNNNNNNNNNNNNNNNNNNNNNNNNNNNNNNNNNNNNNNNNNNNNNNNNNNNNNNNNNNNNNNNNNNNNNNNNNNNNNNNNNNNNNNNNNNNNNNNNNNNNNNNNNNNNNNNNNNNNNNNNNNNNNNNNNNNNNNNNNNNNNNNNNNNNNNNNNNNNNNNNNNNNNNNNNNNNNNNNNNNNNNNNNNNNNNNNNNNNNNNNNNNNNNNNNNNNNNNNNNNNNNNNNNNNNNNNNNNNNNNNUUAUCCCACAUCGGAGGGAUUUGAGGUCCUUGAUCUCCUUAUAUGGCUUGGACAAUCCUCACCUCAUAAGCUAGCUUUUGGGGUUGAGUUAGGUCCAUUAUCAGUACUUUUCGGGUCCAAAGUAUAUUCACCUUUUCUCUAGGAUGAAGACAUGCUAAUACAUAUUGGCUAUAUAUCAUGACUGACAUAAAAAAAAUUAGCAAAUUUAGAAUGUUAUCCUUUUCAGUUUUAAAUUGUACGUUCCUUUAAAGGAUAUGGCUAUUCAAGGGGUAAACCAAAAUAUUUUUAUUUUCUUAUUCUGAAUCAUUAAUUUCCAAAGCAGCUUUAGGUGUCUAAAUGAUACCAUCUAAUUACAAAGAUUUGAAUAAUCAAGUAGCCUAAAAUUUAAUGAUCAAAUGUUUGGACAGUAACGCGACAAGGGAAUAAAUAAUACUUAUUCAUACUAUCUAUUUUGACAUAAUUCUUGAUAAGGAGAAAUAAUGAAAUAAGAUAAAGCUCAUGUUAAACUCCAACUCGGUCUUCACCAAAUAAGCCAUAGCCUAUUUAACCUUUCAAUUUGACAGUUAACACUAACGCCCAAUAUAAAGCUAACGGAACCCCAAAUAUAGACGAGAACAACUAUUGAAUAAGACAUACACUUUGUCAAAGGCCGGUUCAAAACCAAUAGCAUCUACCAUUAAUGAAACAAGAGAAAUAAACCAACCAGACUUUCAUACGGAUUCAAAAGUUAAACACAUCACCUAAUCAUACCGAUAUAAAAAAAAACUUGAACUUAGUUGAAAUAUUGAGUCACAAUUCAUACAUAAAAAAAGUGACUCCUGCAGAUUUGGGAAGAGAAGGUACCUAAUCGGCAGGAAAUGGAAAUAAAACAAUCAAAUGGAGGCAAAGACAAACACCACUGGAGCUAAGCCAAAGAGAUCCAGCAUCAACAAACAACAUUUAAUCCAAGAUCACACUUGGAAACCCAUGAACAUAAAAGAGGAAAGGAUUUAACGAGGUUUUAUGGGGUGCUGACCACUUUGCAUUUACUCUCACAAAAAAUUGGUUCCAUUUCAUCAAACCCCAUUUUCAAAUUCCGCUACUGACUUUUGCUUGGGAGGUGAAUAUGAGCAGCUCAUUAGUGGAAGGGAAAUGAUUUUUAGCAACCUGGUGGAGAAAAUCUCGCACAAAUUGAAGCUAAAUACAAUUGCAAUUUUGAACCGAACUUGCUUUCAUUUGUUUUGCUUUUUGCCAGCGAUAGGGAUCUGAUUUUCCUUAAUGUUUUUGAUCUGAUGCUCUCGUCCUCCUUUUGCUGAGUGAUGUGAAUACCCCUUUUGGAGGAGAACCAUGAUAUUUUUGGGGUAAGGUCUCUGUUAAAGAAAGGAGAGGAGCACCGCUGGUGUCUUCAAAGAGAAAGGGAGAUCUCUAAAUCUGAUUAAGUCUGGGUCUAGAGAUGAGACAAAAAAUUUGAUUUUAUUAUGUGAAUGCUAUGGGCCAAAUUGGUUGUGAGCUUGGAUUGGG
Molecule: long non-coding RNA, 11813 nt
Filed under: Nicotiana benthamiana
Lineage: Eukaryota; Viridiplantae; Streptophyta; Magnoliopsida; Solanales; Solanaceae
Description: long non-coding RNA (NBEN_LNC024358)
Source: RNAcentral